This 492-nucleotide ribosomal RNA is filed under the name uncultured bacterium. RNAcentral describes it as "partial 16S ribosomal RNA". It matches the Rfam family "Bacterial small subunit ribosomal RNA", at positions 29 to 507 of the family's 1533-position model. The record is from RNAcentral.
AGUGAAAGAUGGCGGUAGGCCUAACACAUGCAAGUCGAACGGCAGCACAGUAAGAGCUUGCUCUUACGGGUGGCGAGUGGCGGACGGGUGAGGAAUACAUCGGAAUCUACUUUUUCGUGGGGGAUAACGUAGGGAAACUUACGCUAAUACCGCAUACGACCUACGGGUGAAAGCAGGGGAUCUUCGGACCUUGCGCGAUUGAAUGAGCCGAUGUCGGAUUAGCUAGUUGGCGGGGUAAAGGCCCACCAAGGCGACGAUCCGUAGCUGGUCUGAGAGGAUGAUCAGCCACACUGGAACUGAGACACGGUCCAGACUCCUACGGGAGGCAGCAGUGGGGAAUAUUGGACAAUGGGCGCAAGCCUGAUCCAGCCAUACCGCGUGGGUGAAGAAGGCCUUCGGGUUGUAAAGCCCUUUUGUUGGGAAAGAAAAGCAGCAGGUUAAUACCCCGCUGUUCUGACGGUACCCAAAGAAUAAGCACCGGCUAACUUCGUG